UGAAGCUGCUGGUGUUGACACAUAUAUAUUCAAGCAAAAAAAACACUGGUUACAAACUGACAAUAAAAGAGCCAUAAAUCAGUACUAAGAUCAUCCAGGAUGCUUGCUGCAACUAAUGACAAUAAAAUAAAUGUAGAAAUGAUCUUAUAGUGCUAUUUUACCUUAGUGCACAUAUAUAAAGUUGAGAACAAAGAAAAUCAAGAGAUGUAAAAAAUUAAAACAAAAGCGAAACGAGUUCUAAGAAAAUAAAUGUAGAAAUGAUCUUAUAGUGCUAUUUUUUUUGUGAGGAACUUAUAGUGCUAUUUUACCUUAGUGCACAUAUAUAAAGUUGAGAACAAAGAAAAUUAGAGAUGUAAAAAUUUAAAACAAAAGCGAAACGAGUUCUAAGUUCGAAACCAAAUAGAAAAAGAAAAAGG
RNAcentral lists this long non-coding RNA (416 nucleotides) under Brachypodium distachyon (stiff brome). RNAcentral's name for it is "long non-coding RNA (BDIS_LNC003634)". Lineage: Eukaryota; Viridiplantae; Streptophyta; Magnoliopsida; Poales; Poaceae. The record is from RNAcentral.